UCCUGCGGCGUUUCUGACAGAAA
Molecule: microRNA, 23 nt
Filed under: Octopus vulgaris (common octopus)
Lineage: Eukaryota; Metazoa; Mollusca; Cephalopoda; Octopoda; Octopodidae
Also listed under: 1 other name
Description: Ovu-Mir-12586_5p (mature (guide))
Source: RNAcentral